Molecule: long non-coding RNA, 1902 nt
Organism: Cyprinus carpio carpio
Lineage: Eukaryota; Metazoa; Chordata; Actinopteri; Cypriniformes; Cyprinidae
Source: Ensembl
AUGUGGGAUGGAACGUCCUACUCCUCUCUGACUCCACAUUCAUUUCUCUGCCUGCAGAAAAGAAGCUCAUUUAUCUCCAGUGUCACUCCUUUUUUAUUCCUUCAUUUUCUUUGGCUCUGUUCAUGCACAUACAGCUUUCUUCCCUGUGCCCGGGAUAAUAUUGGACUCAGUAACUGAUCCCAUGAUGGAUGAGUAUUGCAUGAAAUCCCACUUUCAGAUGGACGCUAAAAAGAGUAAGAUCAUAUUUAUUCUUUUUGAUAGGGCACCAUUAUGAGAAACAGUUUGACAUAUUUAGGGACAUGUCAGAACAUUUCCUUUGCAUUCCUUUUUAGACUUUCCACUUCACAUUUACAUGUUUUUUUCUUUGUCUUGUUUUCCAGUAAACUUCCUUAAAUCAGCUUUUUUAUUGAGAAGAAAAAUUGCAUAAUGUAAGACCUGCAUUAAUUUUUUUCCCAAUAUCUUGAAUUUAAUUCAUUUUUCCCAUUUAAUGAAUUUAUUUGAUUCAUAACCCCAGUAGCAAUUUUUUUAAUUAUUAUUUUAAAUAUAAUGGGAAUUUAUGCUUUAAAAACAAAACUGAUUGCAGUUUAUGUUAUGAUGUUUUUUUUUUUGUUUGUUUGUUUGUUUGUUUGUUUUUUUUAGGCGGAAUUAAACUAUUUUUAUUCAGUGAAUCCGUUCUUGUAAAUUCUAUGAUUUUUGGGUUAAGCCACUGUUACAGUUUCUUUUUUAUGAAAGCCUUUCUGUAACUCUGAACAGACAAAAUAACCAAUUCGUAAUGCAGAGCUGCAGCCACAUACCUGCUUGCAAACAGAGAUAAAUCAUAUUCCCACCCCUGCUUCUCAUUUUAUGCCUCUUCCUAGGAAAGCUUCUUCUUACAUGAAGCGUUGUAAUCUGGUGCUUUUGGUGCUGUGGCAUGGUUAACAUGAGGGUGUGAGUUCUGAACUCUAAAAAGGACAAUAGUACAGUCAUGGGGAGCACAAGGGCAAAGCCGCAGUGAGAGUGAAGCAGAGGACUUGUGGAGACCUGUAAGGCCUCUAUACCAAAAAAAGGACCCGUGUUCCAGGACCUCUCCUGCCAGUCUCCCAUGGAUUACCUUCCAGGGCCUAUAUGGAUUAAAUGUUCUUAAGAAGCGGUAAGACUAUCCAACAAAGUGUUUGGAAGGCUUUAACAUGUCAGGCUUUGAGUGAACUAAGAUUUCAAGGGCCAAAUGAUAUCCAGUGAGAGCCAUGUCAAGCCCUUUGGUUGCAUAAGAAAUGACUUUUAUGGACUGCUACAAUGGACCAAGAGAGCAAAAAAAAACUGUUUAUACAAAAUUAAUAUAUGAAAAUCAUCCCAACAAUAGCUCAUCGUUCAAAUCUUGAAGAAGACAAAUACAGCUGAGCGACACUGAAAGAAAUAUAGAUAUAUAGAAAGGUCUGGUUAUAAUUAUGGCCUUUCCAAGAUGAUGCAGUUUUGACAGUCAGAACCCCUCCUGGGACCUUCUGAAGGACACGUCCACCAGAAUGGAGGCUGGAGGGUGAGGUUGAGGAGCUUCAUGCCAUCUUCUAGGCACCUCCGGACCGUCAUACUCCUCUAGAACUUGUCAACUGCUUGUGUUCAAGUUCCCUUAAAAGAACAAGGAUUCUGCGCCAGGCCACUCGUAAAUAAUCCCUCUCCAUUGGGAAGCAGCUGAUCCAGGAAGAGCGGCCGAGUUUUGAUACUUAUUACAGAUGCAGAAAAUUUCAUUUUGAUAAAGCAGAACUGGGUUUAACGACCUCUCUGAUCACAAGGGGAAAGCAUCUCUGCACUGUCCAUCUGAUGUAUUUAUUAGCCUUGUUUGUACAUACAAGGUAAUGGAGUUCAGCGGCUGUGGAGAAGAGGGAUCGGCUACAGGUCUCGUCUACUUGAAUGAAUAACUCUUUCUGC